AGCCCUUAAAAAUAUUAAAGGUGUAACCUGCCCAAUGGUUUUAAAUUUAAUAAAAUUAACAUUUUAUAAUAAAACUUAAAGGACGCAGUAACCUGACUGUGGUAAUGUAGCAUAAUCNCUAGCCAUUUAAUUGAUGGAUAGUAUGAAUGGUUGAACGAAUAUCACACUGUCUUAAAUAGAAAUCUCAUGAAAUUUAAAUAAUAGUUAAGAUGCUAUUUAAAAUUGUAAGACGAAAAGACCCUAUAGAGCUUAACUAUAUUCUCUUUUAAAUAUAAAAAAAACAAAAAGUUUCUAUAAAAAUUAAAGAGAAAGGUAGUUUAGUUGGGGCGACUGUCUUCUAAUUAAAACGAAGACAAGCAAUGUUAAUAAAAAAAAAACUUAUUGUAUAAUAAAUGAUUUAACAAUUAUAAAAAUAGGCUAUAAUGACCCGUUAUAAUUAAAAAAUAAAUAUAACGAUCAAUAAAUAAAAGCUACCUUAGGGAUAACAGGAUAAUUUUGUUCUAGAGAUCUUAUCGAAAACAAAGUUUGUCACCUCUAUGUUGAAUUAAGAUAUCCAAGUAAUGCAGAAGUUACUAAAGGUAGGUCUGUUCGACCUUUAAAAUCUU
RNAcentral lists this ribosomal RNA (605 nucleotides) under Dicoryne conybearei. RNAcentral's name for it is "partial 16S ribosomal RNA". It matches the Rfam family "Bacterial large subunit ribosomal RNA", at positions 1832 to 2597 of the family's 2925-position model. The record is from RNAcentral. Lineage: Eukaryota; Metazoa; Cnidaria; Hydrozoa; Anthoathecata; Bougainvilliidae.